This 402-nucleotide ribosomal RNA is filed under the name uncultured bacterium. RNAcentral's name for it is "bacterial SSU rRNA". It matches the Rfam family "Bacterial small subunit ribosomal RNA", at positions 976 to 1380 of the family's 1533-position model. The record is from RNAcentral.
AAGGCUUGACAUACACCGUGACACUGCAGAAAUGUGGUGGCCUUCGGGGCGGUGUACAGGUGGUGCAUGGUUGUCGUCAGCUCGUGUCGUGAGAUGUUGGGUUAAGUCCCGCAACGAGCGCAACCCUUGCCUCAUGUUGCCAGCACUUCGGGUGGGGACUCGUGAGGAACUGCCGGGGUUAACUCGGAGGAAGGUGGGGAUGACGUCAAAUCAUCAUGCCCCUUAUGUCUUGGGCUUCACGCAUGCUACAAUGGCCAGUACAGAGGGUUGCAAUCCCGUAAGGGGGAGCUAAUCUCUUAAAGCUGGUCUCAGUUCGGAUCGGGGUCUGCAACUCGACCCCGUGAAGGUGGAGUCGCUAGUAAUCGCAGAUCAGCAACGCUGCGGUGAAUACGUUCUCGGGCC